This 29-nucleotide non-coding RNA is filed under the name Mus musculus (house mouse). The record is from RNAcentral. Lineage: Eukaryota; Metazoa; Chordata; Mammalia; Rodentia; Muridae.
UAAGAGCAAAUGAGAGUGAAAAGAAUUGA